This 443-nucleotide ribosomal RNA is filed under the name uncultured bacterium. Its description in RNAcentral is "partial 16S ribosomal RNA". It matches the Rfam family "Bacterial small subunit ribosomal RNA", at positions 338 to 795 of the family's 1533-position model. The record is from RNAcentral.
CCUACGGGCGGCAGCAGUGGGGAAUAUUGGGCAAUGGGCGCAAGCCUGACCCAGCAACGCCGCGUGAAGGAAGAAGGCUCUAGGGUUGUAAACUUCUUUUCUGAGGGACGAAGAAAGUGACGGUACCUCAGGAAUAAGCCACGGCUAACUACGUGCACGCAGACGCGGUAAUACGUAGGUGGCAAGAGUUAGCCGGAUUUAUUGGGUGUAAAGGGCGUGUAGGCGGGAAGGCAAGUCAGAUGGGAAAACUCAGGGCUCAACCCUGAGCCUGCAUUUGAAACUGUUUUUCUUGAGUGCUGGAGAGGCAAUCGGAAUUCGGUGUGUAGCGGUGAAAUGCGUAGAUAUACGGAGGAACACCAGUGGCGAAGGCGGAUUGCUGGACAGUAACUGACGCUGAGGCGCGAAAGCGUGGGGAGCAAACAGGAUUAGAUACCCGGGUAGUC